GUACUUCUUCUAGGAAAAACAAAAUAGCCCAUGGCCACUUACUAAGGCAUGGGAAGAAGAUGCUAAACUCAAUGACGCGUGGAAAUUACUUCCUAAUGCGUGGGAAUCAUUUCAGUCAUGUUCCAUAAAUAUGACACGAUGUCAUUACACUAAAAUAAUCUUUAGCAGCUUGAACACUGCAGACCCAUACAGAUGAAACCCACACUGCAUGGGGACUAUUUUUAAACGUUGAUAUUAAUACAUUUUAGGAACUACAUGUUUUCGGCAUUUAAAACAUGACGUAAGCAGUCUCUGAGCGUGUGUUCGGCUGGUAGAGACACGUGUUUUCCAAUAACCCAGUUUAUAGCCAGGUUGUAGCCGCCCUCAGCCUCUGAUAAAUACUGACACCUGCUGGAAGAUGUGGAUUUAUGCAGGAAGAAGAUCUGGACCAGGAUGACCUGCAGAAUCACCAGGCCUAUCACCAGGCCGAUGGUCAGGCUGAGAGGCACAAGGCAGAGCUGGAAAUGAAAAAAUCAACCGCUGCCACACUGGCACUGCAGCCGCGAGGAGCGCUGUCUUACAAUAUGAUUCCGACGUUGGUGAGCAUGCUCAGAGCUCUCCCAUGCAGGACAGGAAGAACCAGCAAGUAGGCGAGGAGCAGGGCCAACAGGAAGUGGACAAAGUGGACAAUCACAUACCCUAAAAGGCACAUUAGAAAUGAGCAAAUGAUUAUUGUUGUACAACAGAUCCAGCAGUAUUUGUAGUUAUGGUGUAUUGGUGUCAACAUAGUUCACUCACAGAUGUUUUUGUUUUGAGUACAUAUUAAUUCCCUGUUGUUAUUCAUGAUAUACCAAUGCUUACCCCACAGUGUAAAGGCUAUUUGCCAUCCAGAGUAUCUUGCAAUGGAAGCCUGUGAAGAUGUGAUGGAAAUUGUUUGUGCAUUCACUGGGAACAGUCUAAUGAACCAACAGCGUGUGUAACUAUAUGCAUGAAGACGCUAAAUAGGAAAUGGUUCAUCUGUUCACGCAGGUGCACAUAUGCUGUGAUUAUGUCUGCGCAUCUGCAGCUAAUACGUCUGGCACAUCCAAACGUGUGUGUUUGUUUCUUACGACGCUGAGAGCAGAGCUCGGCUUGUGAAACCUGCUGGGCAGAAACCCCCUCUGUCCUUUCCACAGCCUCUUCAAGUGUUUCCUAUAACAUUGAUACUGUACAUCACAUGGUGGCUGCAAGUGAGGUUUCCUACAUGCUAAAACCAGUUAUUAACAUCAAUACAUGAAAUAUUUUAACAGGUAUUAUUCCAGGUGUGAUUUUAUUUUUGGUCGGUCACCUGUAGCAUGCCAAAACGUGGAAGGUGUAGGCUACGGAGUUGAGACUAGCAAAGAUGGUGGUGGCCAGCCAACACCCUGAAAACGUACAGACAACAUAACAGAUCUGGUGCAAACGUGUUCUAUAUGAUGUCGGACCAAACAAACAGGGCAUCGGCCCAACUCACUUCUAGCCACAGCAAUGAAUUCCUCCAGCUGUGUUACCAUGGCGCCCAGAGCUUCAGUCUGGUUGCUCGACGUGAUCAGGUGGCUCAGAGUGUUCUUCCAUUCCUCUACUCUGGCGAAAGCCACAUUACUGAGACUGUAGUCUGCCAGAGUCAUCUAGGGGAAGUCCAAAGUCAAAGGAACACUACAACCUACAGAAGGUGAAUGGAAUCAUGCUUCUGUGUUGCUGUGCUUACUAUGUAGAGGCCUAUGAGGGAAAUGAUGACUGUGCCGAUUAUCCUGUUGGGGAACUUGAAGUAUGGAUCCCACUCAUAAACUCUCCUCUGAAACCAGCCGAGUGGUGCACUGCAAGACCAACAGCUGCAGGUGUAUUUGAACAGCUUUAACCAGAAUGUAGAGAAAUCGACCCAAGAGGAAAACGAGGGAGAGGAUGCACGGCCACUGGACAAUAAUCUUCUGGUCAGAGAGUAGAGUAUGCCCAGCACGGCCCCUGCUGUUCUGAAGGGUGUGGACAGACAAGCAAAGAAAGGGAAAUACACCAGGCCCACUUCUAUGGCUCCAACCAGGUACACGAUAGCUGUGGAUGGGCAACUUACUGCAGGAAGGAGUGAGAGGUGCAGGAACAGGUCAAUAGAGAGACCAUUCUGACAGACCUGAACCACGGACACGCUGCUGGAGGAACAGUGAACACAGCCACCACAACAGAGAUAAAGAAAGCGACUGCAGUGACACUGUACCACUUCUGUUUCCUGGUUUCAACCAUGUGACUCAACCGUCUGACCUUUGAACCCUGCACACAGCUCCUCAUGUCUCUGUCUUUCAUGUUACGGCGU
This is a long non-coding RNA of Betta splendens (Siamese fighting fish), 2302 nucleotides long. RefSeq lists it as uncharacterized. The transcript has 7 exons. NCBI's taxonomy places the organism in Eukaryota, Metazoa, Chordata, Actinopteri, Anabantiformes, Osphronemidae. The record is from RefSeq and is a predicted model, not a curated record.